Molecule: unclassified non-coding RNA, 287 nt
Filed under: Chaetomium sp.
Lineage: Eukaryota; Fungi; Ascomycota; Sordariomycetes; Sordariales; Chaetomiaceae
Description: partial contains 5.8S ribosomal RNA, internal transcribed spacer 2, and large subunit ribosomal RNA
Rfam family: 5.8S ribosomal RNA (bases 1-71)
Source: RNAcentral
GUGAGUCAUCGAAUCUUUGAACGCACAUUGCGCCCGCCAGUAUUCUGGCGGGCAUGCCUGCUCGAGCGUCAUUUCAACCAUCAAGCCCCCGGCUUGUGUUGGGGACCUGCGGCUGCCGCAGGCCCUGAAAACCAGUGGCGGGCUCGCUGUCACCCCGAGCGUAGUAGUUACAUCUCGCUAUGGGCGUGCUGCGGGUUCCGGCCGUUAAAAAGCCUUAUUUUACCCAAGGUUGACCUCGGAUCAGGUAGGAAGACCCGCUGAACUUAAGCAUAUCAAUAAGCGGAGGA